GUAAUUGUUGGGAUGCCACGGACAAACCGGGGAAGCCCCCGGAGGAAAACUCCGUGUUGUCUAGACCACGGCCGUGCCCAACACAAGUUAAAUUAAAUAUAUGUGACUGAAGUAAGCUGUCAUGCAGAGGAACUAUAUCAACAAGGCCUACAUGUUGCUGCAUAAUAGAAGACUUAAGACAAUAUUAACCUUGGCCUUGCUCUGCCUUGUCCAUCCAAGUCAACAGUUGGCACCCCUAGCCUCACAAUGCGAGUGAACAGAGACUGUUCCAUAUUGGAGUACUUUUGAAAUGCCAUAUUCUUAAUUACUGGUGGCAGCUGGUGGUGAUCACCAAUCAUUAUCCAGCGUUUAAGUCGACUAAAGCCAUCUUCAGGAUUCUGCAGCAGCAACGGAAUGAACGUUUCAAUCUCCAAGAUCUGUGCUGACUCUUCCAUUAGGAUGUUGUCAUACUUGAAACCUGAAGUCAUAACUUGGAGUCUCACAGAUCCUAAAUCUAGAACAGACAGAGGGAAUGGUGGCCACAGUUGGAGGGACGCUACAAGAAAUUGGCGAAUCCAUCUUGACACAACAUUAGAUCACACUUUGGCAUUAUUUAAAUCCACUAAAAUGCCCUCACCUGAGAGAAAUAAGAAACGGAUGAAGGAGAGAACUUCAUUAAAAGACUACGUUUAACCUACAUACCAAGAUCAACUAAUUCCCUGCGCUUGAGUGCAGCAUGGGUACAAGUCAUGGCAAUCACUUUUGCCUCCUUCACGAGCAGAUAUUUUGAACGGUCCAGCCCACUGCGCAGCAAUUCAAAUGCUCGGAACUCUUCCAUAGCCUACACUGAGGAACAGAAAUACGUGGAGAGUUUUGAAAUGUGGUGUUGGAGAAGAAUAGAGAAGAUCAGGUGGACGGAUCGAGUGACCAACGAAGAAGUAUUGAGGAGAGUCAACGAGCAAAGAAACAUUCUGCAGGCGA
This is a non-coding RNA of Zootermopsis nevadensis, 960 nucleotides long. The record is from RefSeq and is a predicted model, not a curated record. NCBI's taxonomy places the organism in Eukaryota, Metazoa, Arthropoda, Insecta, Blattodea, Termopsidae.